Molecule: ribosomal RNA, 468 nt
Filed under: uncultured bacterium
Lineage: Bacteria
Description: partial 16S ribosomal RNA
Rfam family: Bacterial small subunit ribosomal RNA
Source: RNAcentral
GACGAACGCUGGCGGCGUGCUUAACACAUGCAAGUCGAACGGAAAGGCCCUGCUUUUGUGGGGUGCUCGAGUGGCGAACGGGUGAGUAACACGUGAGUAACCUGCCCUUGACUUUGGGAUAACUUCAGGAAACUGGGGCUAAUACCGGAUAGGAGCUCCUGCUGCAUGGUGGGGGUUGGAAAGUUUCGGCGGUUGGGGAUGGACUCGCGGCUUAUCAGCUUGUUGGUGGGGGAGUGGCUUACCAAGGCUUUGACGGGUAGCCGGCCUGGGAGGGUGACCGGCCACAUUGGGACUGAGGUACGGACCAGACUGCAACGGGAGGCAGCAGUGGGGAAUAUUGCACAAUGGGCGGAAGCCUGAUGCAGCAACGCCGCGUGCGGGAUGACGGCCUUCGGGUUGUAAACCGCUUUCGCCUGUGACGAAGCGUGAGUGACGGUAAUGGGUAAAGAAGCACCGGCUAACUACGUG